UGGGGAAUAUUGGACAAUGGGCGCAAGCCUGAUCCAGCCAUGCCGCGUGAGUGAUGAAGGCCCUAGGGUUGUAAAGCUCUUUCACCGGUGAAGAUAAUGACGGUAACCGGAGAAGAAGCCCCGGCUAACUUCGUGCCAGCAGCCGCGGUAAUACGAAGGGGGCUAGCGUUGUUCGGAUUUACUGGGCGUAAAGCGCACGUAGGCGGACUAUUAAGUCAGGGGUGAAAUCCCGGGGCUCAACCCCGGAACUGCCUUUGAUACUGGUAGUCUUGAGUUCGAGAGAGGUGAGUGGAAUUCCGAGUGUAGAGGUGAAAUUCGUAGAUAUUCGGAGGAAAACCAGUGGCGAAGGCGGCUCACUGGCUCGAUACUGACGCUGGGGUGCGAAAGCGUGGGGAGCAAACAGG
RNAcentral lists this ribosomal RNA (404 nucleotides) under Actinomycetes bacterium. Its description in RNAcentral is "Actinobacteria bacterium partial 16S ribosomal RNA". It matches the Rfam family "Bacterial small subunit ribosomal RNA", at positions 355 to 776 of the family's 1533-position model. The record is from RNAcentral. Lineage: Bacteria; Bacillati; Actinomycetota; Actinomycetes.